CCUACGGGAGGCAGCAGUAAGGAAUAUUGGUCAAUGGACGAAAGUCUGAACCAGCCAUGCCGCGUGAAGGAUGACGGCCCUCUGGGUUGUAAACUUCUUUUAUCUGGGACGAAAAAAGGGAAUUCUUUCUCACUUGACGGUACCAGAGGAAUAAGCACCGGCUAACUCCGUGCCAGCAGCCGCGGUAAUACGGAGGGUGCAAGCGUUAUCCGGAUUCACUGGGUUUAAAGGGAGCGUAGGUGGGCAGGUAAGUCAGUGGUGAAAUCUCCGGGCUUAACCCGGAAACUGCCAUUGAUACUAUUUGUCUUGAAUUAUCUGGAGGUAAGCGGAAUAUGUCAUGUAGCGGUGAAAUGCUUAGAUAUGACAUAGAACACCCAUUGCGAAGGCAGCUUACUACGGAUAUAUUGACACUGAGGCUCGAAAGCGUGGGGAUCAAACAGGAUUAGAUACCCUGGUAGUCCACGCCCUAAACCGAUGGAUACUCGACAUCAGCGAUACACUGUUGGUGUCUGAGCGAAAGCAUUAAGUAUCCCACCUGGGAAGUACGACCGCAAGGUUGAAACUCAAAGGAAUUGACGG
This 579-nucleotide ribosomal RNA is filed under the name uncultured bacterium. RNAcentral describes it as "bacterial SSU rRNA". It matches the Rfam family "Bacterial small subunit ribosomal RNA", at positions 338 to 916 of the family's 1533-position model. The record is from RNAcentral.